Molecule: non-coding RNA, 290 nt
Organism: Pelobates cultripes (western spadefoot toad)
Lineage: Eukaryota; Metazoa; Chordata; Amphibia; Anura; Pelobatidae
Source: the annotation of a GenBank genome assembly
CUUUAGGCGUUGCUUUCAUGGAAGCAGAAGGCAAGCAAGAAAGAUGUCCAGAGGAGGAUCUCCCUGAUAACAGAUAUGCAGAGCACAGUCUUCUUAUCUCUGUGCUAACCUGCACACACUGAACUGACUGACAGGAAAGGGCUAUUUAUUCAUAUCUGAUUUUUAGAGAAAUUCCCCCCCCCAGCUAGUCCGUGUAAUUGCAGUAAAAACAGAUUCUGUGCACAACAUGUCAAUUUACUUCUUUCUAAUAAAGCAAUCUUACAAAGUACCAUGAGAACUACAUGUGUGCA